CGGCCAGACUCCUACGGGAGGCAGCAGUGGGGGAUAUUGCACAAUGGGGGAAACCCUGAUGCAGCGACGCCGCGUGAGUGAAGAAGUAUUUCGGUAUGUAAAGCUCUAUCAGCAGGGAAGAAGAUGACAGUACCUGAGUAAGAAGCCCCGGCUAACUACGUGCCAGCAGCCGCGGUAAUACGUAGGGGGCAAGCGUUAUCCGGAUUUACUGGGUGUAAAGGGCGUGUAGCCGGGCUGACAAGUCAGAUGUGAAAUCCGGGGGCUCAACCCCCGAACUGCAUUUGAAACUGUUGGUCUUGAGUAUCGGAGAGGCAGGCGGAAUUCCUAGUGUAGCGGUGAAAUGCGUAGAUAUCAGGAGGAACACCGGCGGCGAAGGCGGCCUGCUGGACCGCGACUGACGUUGAGGCUCGAAAGCGUGGGGAGCGAACAGGAUUAGAUACCCUCGUA
Molecule: ribosomal RNA, 447 nt
Filed under: uncultured bacterium
Lineage: Bacteria
Description: bacterial SSU rRNA
Rfam family: Bacterial small subunit ribosomal RNA
Source: RNAcentral